This 103-nucleotide small nucleolar RNA is filed under the name Penicilliopsis zonata CBS 506.65. Its description in RNAcentral is "A. fumigatus snoRNA Afu_264". It matches the Rfam family "A. fumigatus snoRNA Afu_264". Lineage: Eukaryota; Fungi; Ascomycota; Eurotiomycetes; Eurotiales; Aspergillaceae. The record is from Rfam by way of RNAcentral.
UAGCAUGAUGAUACACACCAUUUUUUUUUAUUUUCUGGUACCUCUUAUGUCAGGGGCAGUGCCUACCCGGUGUUGCUCCAAUGCUCUAAACGGACUUCUGAAC